GUGAGGAAUUUUCCGCAAUGGGCGAAAGCCUGACGGAGCAAUGCCGCGUGAAGGAUGAAGGCCUAUGGGUUGUAAACUUCUUUUCUCAGAAAAGAAUUAUGACGGUAUCUGAGGAAUAAGCAUCGGCUAACUCUGUGCCAGCAGCCGCGGUAAGACAGUGGAUGCAAGCGUUAUCCGGAAUGAUUGGGCGUAAAGCGUCUGUAGGUUGUUUAAAAAGUAUUCUGUCAAAGAUUAGGGCUUAACCCUAGAUAGGCAGAAUAAACUUUUAAGCUAGAGUUUGGUAGAGGCAGAGGGAAUUCCCGGUGGAGCGGUGAAAUGCGUAGAUAUCGGGAGGAACACCAAAGGCGAAGGCACUCUGCUGGGCCAAUACUAACACUGAGAGACGAAAGCGAGGGGAGCAAAUGGGAUUAGAAACCCGAGUAGUCC
Molecule: ribosomal RNA, 426 nt
Filed under: uncultured bacterium
Lineage: Bacteria
Description: partial 16S ribosomal RNA
Rfam family: Bacterial small subunit ribosomal RNA
Source: RNAcentral